UCGCACGAGAAAGGGAGCAAUCCUAAGUAAAGUGGCGCACGGGUGAGUAACACGUGGAUCAUCUACCUUUUAGUGGGGAAUACCUCUGGGAAACCGGAGACAAUACCGCAUAAGCCCGCAAGGGGAAAGCAGCAAUGCGCUGAAAGAGGAGUCCGCGGCCGAUUAGCUAGUUGGCGGGGUAACGGCCCACCAAGGCGAAGAUCGGUAGCCGGCCUGAGAGGGCACACGGCCACACUGGCACUGAAACACGGGCCAGACUCCUACGGGAGGCAGCAGUGGGGAAUCUUGCACAAUGGGCGAAAGCCUGAUGCAGCGACGCCGCGUGAGCGAUGAAGCCCUUCGGGGUGUAAAGCUCUUUCGACGGGAACGAUAAUGACGGUACCCGGAGAAGAAGCUGCGGCUAACUACGUGCCAGCAGCCGCGGUAAUACGUAGGCAGCGAGCGUUGUUCGGAAUUACUGGGCGUAAAGAGUGUGUAGGCGGUGUUCCCAGUCUGUUGUGAAAUCUCCCGGCUUAACUGGGAGGGUGCAGCGGAAACUAGAAUGCUAGAGGGUGGGAGAGGUAAGCGGAAUUCCUGGUGUAGCGGUGAAAUGCGUAGAUAUCAGGAGGAACACCUGUGGUGUAGACAGCUUACUGGACCACUUCUGACGCUGAGACACGAAAGCGUGGGUA
Molecule: ribosomal RNA, 671 nt
Filed under: uncultured bacterium
Lineage: Bacteria
Description: bacterial SSU rRNA
Rfam family: Bacterial small subunit ribosomal RNA
Source: RNAcentral